Neltuma alba is the source of this 96-nucleotide long non-coding RNA. RefSeq lists it as uncharacterized. NCBI's taxonomy places the organism in Eukaryota, Viridiplantae, Streptophyta, Magnoliopsida, Fabales, Fabaceae. The record is from RefSeq and is a predicted model, not a curated record. The transcript has 3 exons.
UGUUUGAAAGAGGAGUACAUUGAAGAAGCAGAAGGCAAGCUAUGAUCCUAUUGACUUUGAAAACAUUGAUUUGGUGGACUUUUGGGUGACUGAAGA